AGUAUGAACGAGUAAGUAUUACGUGGAAAAUUUUUUCUUUUAUACCAAACAAGUUAUUUAAAGCCAUUUAAUUUCCUUUUUUUUUCAUCUAAAAAAUAAAAAACAAUAAAAGAAUCGCCUAAUUUGGAUCUUUUUUUUUAAUUCUUGUUUGAAAACUGUAUAUAACAAAGUUAACUCACAAAUGAUUGAUGCGAUUAGGAUGCAAAUGG
Molecule: unclassified non-coding RNA, 209 nt
Filed under: Hevea brasiliensis (rubber tree)
Lineage: Eukaryota; Viridiplantae; Streptophyta; Magnoliopsida; Malpighiales; Euphorbiaceae
Source: RNAcentral